CCUACGGGCGGCAGCAGUGAGGAAUAUUGGUCAAUGGACGAAAGUCUGAACCAGCCAAGUAGCGUGAAGGAUGACUGCUCUAUGGUUUGUAAACUUCUUUUAUAUGGGAAUAAAAUGUUCCACGUGUGGGAUUUGGUACGUACCAUAACAAUAAGGAAUGGCCCACUGCGUGCCAGCAGCCGCGGUAAUACGGAGGAUCCGAGCGUUAUCCGGAUGGAUUGGGUGUAAAGGGAGAGUAGGUGGAUUGUUAAGUCAGUUGUGAAAGUUUGCGGCGCAACCGAAAGAUUGCAGUAGAAACUGGCCAUCUAGAGUACAGGAGAGGUGGGCGGAAUUCGUGGUGUAGCGGUGAAAUGCUUAGAUAUCAGGAAGAACUCCGAUGGCGAAGGCAGUUCACUGGACUGCAACUGACGCUGAGGCUCGAAAGUGUGGGUAUCAAACAGGAUUAGAUACCCGGGUAGUC
This 460-nucleotide ribosomal RNA is filed under the name uncultured bacterium. RNAcentral describes it as "partial 16S ribosomal RNA". It matches the Rfam family "Bacterial small subunit ribosomal RNA", at positions 338 to 795 of the family's 1533-position model. The record is from RNAcentral.